RNAcentral lists this unclassified non-coding RNA (269 nucleotides) under Steccherinum bourdotii. RNAcentral's name for it is "partial internal transcribed spacer region". The stretch from base 1 to 46 matches the Rfam family "Eukaryotic small subunit ribosomal RNA", at positions 1786 to 1831 of the family's 1831-position model. Lineage: Eukaryota; Fungi; Basidiomycota; Agaricomycetes; Polyporales; Steccherinaceae. The record is from RNAcentral.
AAGUCGUAACAAGGUUUCCGUAGGUGAACCUGCGGAAGGAUCAUUAAUGAAUGAAAUUGAGUGGGGUUGUAGCUGGCCUUUCACCGGGCAUGUGCACACCUCAUUCGACCACCUUCUACACCCCUGUGCACUUCUCAUGAGCUGGGCCGCGUCUGAAACACGACAAAGUCCGGCUCGUGUGUUUUAUACAAACGAAUCAUGUUACAGAAUGUCACUACCAUGCUUUGAAGCAUAUAAUACAACUUUCAACAACGGAUCUCUUGGCUCUC